Molecule: ribosomal RNA, 255 nt
Filed under: uncultured bacterium
Lineage: Bacteria
Description: partial 16S ribosomal RNA
Rfam family: Bacterial small subunit ribosomal RNA
Source: RNAcentral
UACGAAAGGGGGCUAGCGUUGCUCGGAAUCACUGGGCGUAAAGCGCACGUAGGCGGCUUUUUAAGUCAGAGGUGAAAUCCUGGAGCUCAACUCCAGAACUGCCUUCGAUACUGGGAGUCUCGAGUCCGAGAGAGGUGAGUGGAACUGCGAGUGUAGAGGUGAAAUUCGUAGAUAUUCGCAAGAACACCAGUGGCGAAGGCGGCUCACUGGCUCGGUACUGACGCUGAGGUGCGAAAGCGUGGGGAGCAAACAGGG